Molecule: non-coding RNA, 65 nt
Organism: Podarcis lilfordi (Lilford's wall lizard)
Lineage: Eukaryota; Metazoa; Chordata; Lepidosauria; Squamata; Lacertidae
Source: the annotation of a GenBank genome assembly
GAAGCUCAGUGGUAGAGCCUCUGCUUUGCACACAGAAGGCUCCAGGUUCAACCCCGGCAUCUCCA